CAUCGCCUCCUGCCCACACCACAUAGGAGGUCCCGCCUGCCCAGUGACCAAAAGUUUAACGGCCGCGGUAUUUUAACCGUGCAAAGGUAGCGCAAUCAAUUGUCUUUUAAAUGAAGACCUGUAUGAAUGGCAUAACGAGGGUUUAACUGUCUCUUUCUCCUGGUCAGUGAAACUGAUCUACCCGUGCAGAAGCGGGUAUGAAUAUACAAGACGAGAAGACCCUAUGGAGCUUUAGACGCCCACCAAUCACGAAAAGCAGGUCUCGCUCAACGGACCCCCAAACAACGUGAUACUGGCACAAACGUCUUCGGUUGGGGCGACCGCGGGAGAGAAAAAAGCUCCCGAGAGGAUUGGGGCUACCCUAAAACCAAGAGCUACACCUCUAAGUCACAAAACAUUUGACCAAAAAUGAUCCGGCUACAUGCCGAUUAACGAACCAAGUUACCCUAGGGAUAACAGCGCAAUCCCUUCCCAGAGUCCAUAUCGACGAAGGGGUUUACGACCUCGAUGUUGGAUCAGGACAUCCUAAUGGUGCAGCCGCUAUUAAGGGUUCGUUUGUUCAACGAUUAAAGUCCUACG
RNAcentral lists this ribosomal RNA (579 nucleotides) under Clupea pallasii (Pacific herring). RNAcentral's name for it is "partial 16S ribosomal RNA". It matches the Rfam family "Bacterial large subunit ribosomal RNA", at positions 1814 to 2600 of the family's 2925-position model. The record is from RNAcentral. Lineage: Eukaryota; Metazoa; Chordata; Actinopteri; Clupeiformes; Clupeidae.